Molecule: ribosomal RNA, 253 nt
Filed under: uncultured bacterium
Lineage: Bacteria
Description: partial 16S ribosomal RNA
Rfam family: Bacterial small subunit ribosomal RNA
Source: RNAcentral
UACGAGGGAUGCAAGCGUUAUCCGGAAUUAUUGGGCGUAAAGCGUUCGUAGGUGGCUAAUUAAGUCUGUUGUUAAAACGUGGAGCUUAACUCCAUAUCGGCAAUGGAAACUGGUUGGCUAGAGUAUGGUAGGGGUAACAGGAAUUCCAAGUGUAGCGGUGAAAUGCGUAGAUAUUUGGAAGAACACCAGCGGCGAAAGCGUGUUACUGGGCCAUUACUGACACUGAGGGACGAAAGCUAGGGGAGCGAAAGGG